AGAGUUUGAUCCUGGCUCAGGACGAACGCUGGCGGCGCGCCUAACACAUGCAAGUCGAGCGGAGGGAAACCUCAGCGGCGGACGGGUGAGUAACACGUGGGUAUCUGCCCCCGAGUCUGGAACAACAGCUGGAAACGGCUGCUAAUACCGGAUGUGGCCAUGGCUAAAGCCUUUGGGCGCUCGGGGAUGAGCCCGCGGCGGAUUAGGUAGUUGGUAGGGUAAUGGCCUACCAAGCCGACGAUCCGUAGCUGGCCUGAGAGGGUGGUCAGCCACACUGGAACUGAGACACGGUCCAGACUCCUACGGGAGGCAGCAGUUGGGGAUCUUGCACAAUGGGCGAAAGCCUGAUGCAGCGACGCCGCGUGAGCGCUAAGGCCUUCGGGUUUUAAAGCUCUUUUCAGAGGGCAGAACGCCUGGGAUCUUCCCGGGUCUGACAUCAACUCUGGAAUAAGCCCCGGCUAACUACGUGCCAGCAGCCGCGGUAAUACGUAGGGGGCAAGCGUUGUCCGGAAUUACUGGGCGUAAAGAGUCCGUAGGCGGCUUGCUCAGUCGCUCGUGAAAGCCCCGGGCUCAACUCGGGGAGUGCGGGCGAUACUGGCAGGCUUGAGGGCGGGAGAGGCAAGCGGAACGUUGCAAGUAGCGGUGAAAUGCAUUGAUAUGCAACGGAACACCGAUGGCGAAGGCAGCUUGCUGGAACGCUCCUGACGCUGAGGGACGAAAGCCAGGGGAGCGAACGGGAUUAGAUACCCUGGUAGUCC
RNAcentral lists this ribosomal RNA (758 nucleotides) under uncultured bacterium. RNAcentral's name for it is "bacterial SSU rRNA". It matches the Rfam family "Bacterial small subunit ribosomal RNA", at positions 8 to 796 of the family's 1533-position model. The record is from RNAcentral.